RNAcentral lists this ribosomal RNA (521 nucleotides) under uncultured bacterium. RNAcentral describes it as "partial 16S ribosomal RNA". It matches the Rfam family "Bacterial small subunit ribosomal RNA", at positions 28 to 523 of the family's 1533-position model. The record is from RNAcentral.
GACGAACGCUGGCGGCGUGCCUAAUACGUGCAAGUCGAGCGGGCCUCCGGAGGUGCUUGCACCUCCGGAAGGCCAGCGGCGGACGGGUGAGUAACACGUGGGCAACCUGCCUUUGAAGCCGGGAUAACACCGGGAAACCGGUGCUAAUACCGGAUACGUCCUCUUUCGCGCCUGCGAGAGGGGAGAAAGACGGUCUUUAAGGCCGUCGCUCAAAGAGGGGCCCGCGGCGCAUUAGCUGGUUGGUGGGGUAAGGGCCUACCAAGGCGACGAUGCGUUGCCGACCUGAGAGGGUGAUCGGCCACACUGGGACUGAGACACGGCCCAGACUCCUGCGGGAGGCAGCAGUAGGGAAUCAUCCGCAAUGGGCGAAAGCCUGACGGUGCAACGCCGCGUGAGUGAGGAAGGUUUUCGGAUCGUAAAGCUCUGUUGUGAGGGAAGAACAGCUUCCGGAGGAAAUGCCGGAGGUUUGCCGGUACCUCACCAGAAAGCCCCGGCUAACUACGUGCCAGCCGCCGCCGUAA